Molecule: ribosomal RNA, 492 nt
Filed under: uncultured bacterium
Lineage: Bacteria
Description: partial 16S ribosomal RNA
Rfam family: Bacterial small subunit ribosomal RNA
Source: RNAcentral
AUUGAACGCUGGCGGCAUGCUUUACACAUGCAAGUCGAACGGUAACAGGCCUUCGGGUGCUGACGAGUGGCGAACGGGUGAGUAAUGCAUCGGAACGUACCCAGAGGUGGGGGAUAACGCAGCGAAAGCUGUGCUAAUACCGCAUGUGAUCUGAGGAUGAAAGCGGGGGACCGAGCAGCAAUGUUUGGCCUCGCGCCUUUGGAGCGGCCGAUGUCGGAUUAGCUAGUUGGUGGGGUAAAGGCCUACCAAGGCGACGAUCCGUAGCUGGUCUGAGAGGACGACCAGCCAAACUGGGACUGGGACACGGCCCAGACUCCUACGGGAGGCAGCAGUGGGGAAUUUUGGACAAUGGGCGGAAGCCUGAUCCAGCAAUGCCGCGUGGGGGAAGAAGGCCUUCGGGUUGUAAACCGCUUUUGGCAGGAACGAAACGGUGUCCGCUAAUACCGGGCGCUAAUGACGGUACCUGCAGAAUAAGCACCGGCUAACUACGUG